UGGUACCACUGCCCAGUCUAGUGGUACUAUUGCCUAACAUAGUCUUGGGACUGUGUCUCGGUGAUUGAGCCACUAACGAUGCCACCACCUGGACCGACGGAGCCACCGCCUAACCCAACUUUUGGGUCACUGAAUGAGCCUUUAUCUUGGCCCAAAAUAGCCCCAUUUUGGGCCAGUUGGCCCCUAAUUGAGUUGGUCUAAUUCCAAACUAAUUCAAUCUUAACACUACUUCGAUCUAGAUAGUUAUUACAAAGUGUUAAUCAAAUAUUUUUC
RNAcentral lists this long non-coding RNA (273 nucleotides) under Musa acuminata (dwarf banana). RNAcentral's name for it is "long non-coding RNA (MACU_LNC003355)". Lineage: Eukaryota; Viridiplantae; Streptophyta; Magnoliopsida; Zingiberales; Musaceae. The record is from RNAcentral.